UCAUUAAAACCAUCAAUAUAUGUGGAACAAGAAGCGACAUAUGUUAAUGGUUUUAAUGAGG
This 61-nucleotide microRNA precursor is filed under the name Blattella germanica (German cockroach). RNAcentral's name for it is "Bge-Novel-13_pre stem-loop". Lineage: Eukaryota; Metazoa; Arthropoda; Insecta; Blattodea; Blattellidae. The record is from RNAcentral.